GUACACGCUGUGACUAGCAUAUCAAUAAGCGGAGGAAAAGAAACUAACAAGGAUUCCCCUUAGUAACGGCGAGUGAAGCGGGAAGAGCUCAAAUUUGAAAUCUUAAAGGGUUUCCCUUUACGAAUUGUAGUUUAAAGAAGUGUUUUCUGUUGAGGUUUUGGUAAAAGUUCUUUGGAAUAGGACAUCAUAGAGGGUGAGAAUCCCGUAUUUGACCUUUACUUUCAACUUUGUGAUACACUUUCAAAGAGUCGGAUUGUUUGGGAAUGCAGUCCAAAAUGGGUGGUAAAUUUCAUCUAAAGCUAAAUAUUGGCGAGAGACCGAUAGCGAACAAGUACCGCGAGGGAAAGAUGAAAAGAACUUUGAAAAGAGAGUUAAACAGUACGUGAAAUUGUCAAAAGGGGAGCGUUUGACACCAGUGUUGUUUUUCUGAAAAUCAAUUAAAGAACUGUUUAUGCUAAGUUGUUUAGACUUUAUCAGCUAACUGUUUAGUUUUGAGCUUUUCUUUAAUGCACUUUUCAGUUAACAAGUCAACAUCAAUUUCUUUCGCUGUAAAAAAGCUUGAGGAAGGUGGCUUGAGAUUCGUCUUAAGUGUUUAUAGCCUCUUGCCUAUGCAGUCGGAGAGAUUGAGGUCUGCAGCGUAGAUCCUUCGGGGCUAAAUGCAUUUGUGCUAAGUUAUAGCAUUUAUAGACAACUUGUUGACUAUGAUUUGUCUUGUAGCUUACUCGCUUAUGUUAUUUUACCUACGCUUAGGAUGUUGACAGCAGUAUAGACUGU
Molecule: ribosomal RNA, 774 nt
Filed under: uncultured Neocallimastigales
Lineage: Eukaryota; Fungi; Neocallimastigomycota; Neocallimastigomycetes; Neocallimastigales
Description: partial large subunit ribosomal RNA
Rfam family: Eukaryotic large subunit ribosomal RNA
Source: RNAcentral